GGAAGUCCCUCCUUACAGCAUUUUGCUCCUAAUUUAGAUUAACGUGGCAAGUUCUUCAAGGCUUUGAGAUGCCUGCAAUUUCUGUGGAACUGUAAAUUUGCCUUAUUGUGCUGAACCAGACCAGUGUAAAUUGAGUGAGAUGGAGCAGAAGAGCCUACAAAAGAAAAGCAAUGAGAAACAGAAAAGAUCCAAGAAUUGAAAAAAUCUCUGAGGAGAAGAGCAGAAGAGCAAAAAAACAAAAAGAGAAGACAACAAAAAAACAUCUCGAGGAACAGGAAGGAUGGUAUGGAUCUCAGAGAUAAAUAAAGCUCAAAAGAGAAGAAAAACACUUAAAUGGAUUUCUGGAAA
This is a long non-coding RNA of Serinus canaria (Common canary), 348 nucleotides long. RefSeq lists it as uncharacterized. The record is from RefSeq and is a predicted model, not a curated record. The transcript has 4 exons. NCBI's taxonomy places the organism in Eukaryota, Metazoa, Chordata, Aves, Passeriformes, Fringillidae.